CUAAUAUGGGGAAAUGUGCUGGAUCCUGAUUGGUGAAAUGGUUGUUGGAGAGACGAGAGGUGUAGUGGAGGAAGACAACACAUGUCAUUCCCAUAGUUUAAAGGCAUGUUAUAUGCCAGAAAGAAAGCUGGAUGAGACAGGGAGGUAAAGGAAACCACAGUGGAUCUGCAUGAUUUCCAGACUUCAUUGGCUAUGUCAUGUUUGGGUUCCAUGACAGGGUUCCAUGACGCCUGGGAUGGUGAUGGUAGUGGUGAUGUUGAGAAGGCGAUGUCUCAUUGAAUCUAUCACACCACAAAUCCUCACUUCUCAUCACCUAUAAAGUCUCUAUGAAAGCCUGGAAGAUAAACAGACACCCUCAGGAACUUAUUCAAUGUAUUUCUUGGAUUCCAGAUUCAACUCCUUCUUUGACCCUGGACCUGUGCUGACUGGAAGCCUCGAGAUGAGAUGAGAAAAUCGAGGCUCAGAAAAGUCCCAUGACUUGUCCAAGGCCAUGAAGCUAGUUCACAGAGAGGCACAGAAUCAGCUAUGGAAGCACUUGAGAGAAUACCAAUACCAUUUUGUGGCCUGGAGAGAUCGGCACCCUCACUAUUUUUGUCCCUGCUAGCCAUCAGCCUCUGGCUUCCCUGUUAUCCUGUUGCCCCCACAGAAUGCAGCUACUACGUGGCUUAAGAGCCAGCACCUCCAUGAAGUGGUGAAGACAUCUACACCAUAAUUACCGGUGUUUUUAACCAGAAAAACCACCCAUUAACUCUAUCAAGAGGAACAUCCAGUCAACAUGCCACCACAUCCCAAAAACCUGCCGAGGAACUUGUCACAAGCUCAAGUCCCAAGAUCAUCUGGAUAUCAAGAAUCACUUCUUUAUAUUUCCACAAAUGCUAGUUUGACUGUGCUUGUAGUCCAUGAUACUUGGGAGGCUGAGGUGGGAGAAUUACUUGAGUCAAAUAACCGAGUUUACCAUCCUGAACAACAUAGUGUGACCCCAUCUCAAAUCAAACCCAACCUAACACCAGAAAAGAAAUUCACAGACUUUCUAGGGAGCUUGCUGAGGAAAAACGAUUGUAUUGUUAAAUGUUAA
Molecule: long non-coding RNA, 1075 nt
Filed under: Cricetulus griseus (Chinese hamster)
Lineage: Eukaryota; Metazoa; Chordata; Mammalia; Rodentia; Cricetidae
Description: lncRNA (ENSCGRG00015039105.1)
Source: RNAcentral